RNAcentral lists this unclassified non-coding RNA (1678 nucleotides) under Hevea brasiliensis (rubber tree). Lineage: Eukaryota; Viridiplantae; Streptophyta; Magnoliopsida; Malpighiales; Euphorbiaceae. The record is from RNAcentral.
AGUGACCAAAAACCACCCACCAAGCUAUCCAUCGUCAUUUACUCCUACUUCCACGACUUACCAUUCCACCACCCACCCCCUUUGAUAAAAUUUUUUUCUCCCUUUAUAAACUCCAUCCUCACAACCUUCUCCAUAAUCACUAUCAUUUAUCUUUUCAAGUUAAUAUCUUCUUUAGCUAUAGCACAUACCAAACAUGGCUCUAGCCAUUUCUUUAUCCACCCUUCUCUUCCUUUUCUUCUUUACUCUAUCAUCUGCCAUGGACAUGUCAAUUAUCCGCUAUAACUAUGAUCAUCAUCCUAAAAGCUGGAGAAGCGAUGUCGAGGUCAUGAACAUGUACAACUGGUGGCUUGCAAAGCAUGGUAAAACUUACAAUAAGAUUGGGGAGAGGGAGGAGAGGUUUGAGAUCUUUAAGAAUAACUUGAGGUUCAUCGAUGAACACAACUCUAAAAAUCGUACCUAUAAGGUUGGAUUGACUAGGUUUGCUGAUCUUACCAAUGAAGAGUACCGUGCCAUGUUCUUGGGCACAAAGAGUGAUCCUAAGCGUAGAGUAAUGAAGUCUAAAAACCCCAGCCGUAGGUAUGCUUUUAAGGCCACUGACGAAUUGCCAGAGUCCGUCGAUUGGAGAAAGGAAGGAGCUGUUAAUCCUAUCAAAGAUCAAGGAAGUUGUGGUAGCUGCUGGGCAUUCUCAACCAUAGCUGCAGUAGAAGGAAUAAACAAGAUAGUGACAGGGGAACUAAUCUCUCUAUCAGAACAAGAAUUGGUAGACUGUGACAGAUCAUACGAUGCAGGUUGCAAUGGAGGCCUCAUGGACAACGCCUUCCAGUUCAUCCUCCAGAAUGGUGGCAUUGACACCGAACAAGAUUAUCCAUACCUCGCCGUUGAUGGCACUUGUGACCCAACCAAGGUUUGCAUAUUUAAAACGAUUCCAGAAUCACUCGACCAAAGAUUAUUGGUAGAAUAGAAUAUUGAUUCUUUUUCUUUCUUGGGUUUCAUCGUUUUGGAUCGUUGCAGGUGAAUAAUAAGGCUGUUACCAUUGAUGGGUUUGAGGAUGUUAUUCCUUUCGAUGAGAAAGCUUUGCAGAAAGCUGUGGCAAAUCAACCUGUCAGUGUUGCAAUUGAAGCCAGCGGCAUGCCUUUGCAGUUCUACCAGUCGGGUGUGUUCAGUGGUGAAUGUGGAUCAGCUCUAGACCAUGGAGUGGUCAUUGUUGGAUAUGGAACAGAUCAAAAUGGCAUGGAUUACUGGAUUGUUAGGAAUUCAUGGGGCCGAGACUGGGGUGAGAAUGGAUAUAUCAGGAUCCAGCGCAAUGUGGUUGACACAUACGCUGGCAAAUGUGGAAUUGCAAUGGAAUCCUCUUAUCCCAUCAAGAAUGCCCAGAACCCUUCUCAAACUUCUGAGGCUGCUGAGAAGAUCAACAGCGCUUGAAGCUUCCUCUUGCCUCUUUCAAGAAAAGGGUACAAAGAAAGAUCAACAAAGGUGUGAAUUAUGAUGGCUACUUGAUUUAUUAUGUCCUGUAAUAAGGAAAAAUUGGGUGUUUGUGUUUGUUUGGAAUGUUGUUGUCGUAUAUAGCUUUACAUUGUCAAAACAUCACCUGAAAAAACUGAAAAUUGUUGUAUCUGGAUGUCAUUUCGCCAUUAAAUAAAUUUAUCAAGCACACUAAAAGCAGUUGUUUCUCUAAAAA